Molecule: ribosomal RNA, 351 nt
Filed under: bacterium B04-7
Lineage: Bacteria
Description: bacterial SSU rRNA
Rfam family: Bacterial small subunit ribosomal RNA
Source: RNAcentral
GUGGGGGAUAACAUAGGGAAACUUAUGCUAAUACCGCAUACGACCUACGGGUGAAAGCGGGGGAUCGCAAGACCUCGCGCGAUUGGAUGAGCCGAUGUCCGAUUAGCUAGUUGGCGGGGUAAUGGCCCACCAAGGCGACGAUCGGUAGCUGGUCUGAGAGGAUGAUCAGCCACACUGGAACUGAGACACGGCCCAGACUCCUACGGGAGGCAGCAGUGGGGAAUAUUGGACAAUGGGCGCAAGCCUGAUCCAGCCAUGCCGCGUGGGUGAAGAAGGCCUUCGGGUUGUAAAGCCCUUUUGUCCGGAAAGAAAAGCACUGGAUUAAUACUUCGGUGUUCUGACGGUACCGGA